UGAUUUGCAACUUCUCCCACCAUGACUUCAGAGAUGGAUGAGAAAAAAGACGUGAUAUAUUAGAAAAGGGGAGGGCUUGCCAUGGAAGGUCCAAUGUUUGAAGGAGAGGGUUCUGAAUUUAGAGCAGACACAAAUUCACUGAUCCGAGAGGCAACACUAGGAUGUGUUGCUCGCAGAUAAUGUGAAAUUCUCGAGAGGAUUUAUGCGAUUCUCAGGUCCAGGCGUCCAUAUGAACAAUCUCUCCAGCUCAUCUCUACAGAGGCUAACUACUGCAGAACCUGAGAUUGCAGACACAAGUGGAAAGCUUCUAAAAAAAGUUCAAAAUUUGGCCGUAAUGCCGUUGUUGACCGACAGUUUUGACAGCCACAGUUGAACGCUCUGAUCUUAAAACUGAAUUCUUUUCAGCCAUUAAUCAGUUCACUUCUAUGGCUCAGAUUUUACCGUUGUGGAUUCCUUUUUUUCCAGAAAUCU
RNAcentral lists this small RNA (471 nucleotides) under Malus domestica (apple). Its description in RNAcentral is "sRNA MD02G0196400". The record is from RNAcentral. Lineage: Eukaryota; Viridiplantae; Streptophyta; Magnoliopsida; Rosales; Rosaceae.